This 497-nucleotide ribosomal RNA is filed under the name uncultured bacterium. RNAcentral describes it as "partial 16S ribosomal RNA". It matches the Rfam family "Bacterial small subunit ribosomal RNA", at positions 28 to 507 of the family's 1533-position model. The record is from RNAcentral.
GAUGAACGCUGGCGGCGUGCCUAAUACAUGCAAGUCGAGCGAACAGACGAGGAGCUUGCUCCUCUGACGUUAGCGGCGGACGGGUGAGUAACACGUGGAUAACCUACCUAUAAGACUGGGAUAACUUCGGGAAACCGGAGCUAAUACCGGAUAAUAUAUUGAACCGCAUGGUUCAAUAGUGAAAGACGGUUUUGCUGUCACUUGUAGAUGGAUCCGCGCCGCAUUAGCUAGUUGGUAAGGUAACAGCUUACCAAGGCAACGAUGCGUAGCCGACCUGAGAGGGUGAUCGGCCACACUGGAACUGAGACACGGUCCAGACUCCUACGGGAGGCAGCAGUAGGGAAUCUUCCGCAAUGGGCGAAAGCCUGACGGAGCAACGCCGCGUGAGUGAUGAAGGUCUUCGGAUCGUAAAACUCUGUUAUUAGGGAAGAACAAAUGUGUAAGUAACUAUGCACGUCUUGACGGUACCUAAUCAGAAAGCCACGGCUAACUACGUG